RNAcentral lists this transfer RNA (74 nucleotides) under Omnitrophica bacterium RIFCSPHIGHO2_02_FULL_51_18. Its description in RNAcentral is "tRNA-Gln". It matches the Rfam family "tRNA". From Rfam's summary of the family: Transfer RNA (tRNA) molecules are approximately 80 nucleotides in length. The record is from RNAcentral. Lineage: Bacteria; Pseudomonadati; Candidatus Omnitrophota.
UGCCCUGUGGUGUAAUGGUAGCACACCGCCCUUUGGAGGCGUGAGUUUAGGUUCGAAUCCUAACGGGGCAGCCA